GACGAACGCUGGCGGCGUGCUUAACACAUGCAAGUCGAACGGAAAGGCCCUGCUUUUGUUGCGUGCUCGUGUGGCGAACGGGUGAGUAACACGUGAGUUACCUGCCCUUUUCUUUUGUAUAUCUUCAGGUAACUCUGGCUAUUACCCGAUAGGAGCUCCUGCUGCAUGGUGUUGGUUGGAUCGUUUCGGCGGUUGGGGAUGGUCUCGCGGCUUAUCAGCUUGUUGGUUGGGUAGUUGCUUACCAAGGCUUUGAAGGGUAGCCUGCCUGUGAGGGUGACCGGCGAAAUGGGGACGGAGAUAGGGCCCAGAAGCCAACGGGAGGCAGCAGGGGGGAAUAUUGCACAAUGGGGGGAAGCCUGAUGAAGAAAGGCAGCGGGCGGGAUGAGGGCCUUCGGGUUGAAAACCGAUUUAGAAUGUGAGGAAGAGUGAGUGACGGUAAUGGGUAAAGAAGCACCGGCUAACUACGUG
RNAcentral lists this ribosomal RNA (468 nucleotides) under uncultured bacterium. RNAcentral describes it as "partial 16S ribosomal RNA". It matches the Rfam family "Bacterial small subunit ribosomal RNA", at positions 28 to 507 of the family's 1533-position model. The record is from RNAcentral.